RNAcentral lists this ribosomal RNA (570 nucleotides) under Ischnocnema guentheri (Steindachner's robber frog). RNAcentral's name for it is "partial 16S ribosomal RNA". It matches the Rfam family "Bacterial large subunit ribosomal RNA", at positions 1818 to 2610 of the family's 2925-position model. The record is from RNAcentral. Lineage: Eukaryota; Metazoa; Chordata; Amphibia; Anura; Brachycephalidae.
GCCUCUUGCCAAAACAUAGGAGGUCCAACCUGCCCAGUGACAUCAAUUCAACGGCCGCGGUAUACUGACCGCGCUAAGGUAGCACAAUCACUUGUCUCUUAAAUGGGGACUAGUAUGAAAGGACCCACGAGAAUCUAACUGUCUCCUUUUUUUAAUCCGUGAAACUAAUCUCCCCGUGAAAAAGCGGGGAUUAACAUAUAAGACGAGAAGACCCUAUGGAGCUUUAGAUAAAGCAAUACUUUCUUCUUAUUUUACUCUCAGCAAUUGUACCCUAAAAGCACCUUAUUGCUAAUCUUCGGUUGGGGCGACCACGGAGAAAAACUAAACCUCCAUGCUGAAUGGAAACCUUCCCACAACAAAGAACUACAGUUCUACGAACCAAAAAAUUGACAAUUGACCCAAUAUUUGAUCAACGAAACAAGUUACCCUAGGGAUAACAGCGCAAUCUACUUCAAAAGUCCUUAUUGACAAGUGGGUUUACGACCUCGAUGUUGGAUCAGGGUGUCCCAGUGGUGCAACCGCUACUAAAGGUUUGUGUGUUCAACAAUUAAAACCCUACGUGAUCUGAGU